This 228-nucleotide ribosomal RNA is filed under the name Prevotella sp. PJ1A. RNAcentral describes it as "partial 16S ribosomal RNA". It matches the Rfam family "Bacterial small subunit ribosomal RNA", at positions 1 to 210 of the family's 1533-position model. RNAcentral also lists the same sequence under 1 other name. Lineage: Bacteria; Pseudomonadati; Bacteroidota; Bacteroidia; Bacteroidales; Prevotellaceae. The record is from RNAcentral.
UUUUUACAAUGUAGAGUUUGAUCCUGGCUCAGGAUGAACGCUAGCUACAGGCUUAACACAUGCAAGUCGCGGGGCAGCAUGGAUGUCCUUUCGGGGACAUCUGAUGGCGACCGGCGCACGGGUGAGUAACGCGUAUCCAACCUGCCCUUUACUAUGGGACAGCCCGUCGAAAGGCGGAUUAAUACCGUAUGUUGUCAUGUUGAUGCAUAUUUUCAUGACCAAAGGCUU